ACAUUAGUUUAUGUGAUCAAAACAUGAAAGCUACAUUGUUUUGAGACUAAAGUUGCGUUUCCAAGGAUUCCUGUGUUUCUGUGUGCAUAAAUCUGUAUGCAGGUGACUUUGUGUGAAAUGUCUGCAAGUCUAUUGCAGCAGGGAGGGACAGAGAGAGAUCGCUAUCGCCAUGAUGGAUUGCAGAGAGGAGGCGAUUUAAAAUAUUAUUAGAACUCAGUUUGUGACUUGCUAAAGGUGCUUGCUAACGUAUUGCCUCUCCUGUGUGUCUGACUCCUUGUCUGCUCCACUUUUCAAAUUAUGCAACAAAUAAUGUGCAGCAGGGGUUUGUGUGCGUAAAUUAGUUUUGCGUAAAACAGGAAACAACAACGUAGCAGUGAUCUCUGUUCCUGUGCAUCGACGCUGCGUCGUCCUCAACUUCCUUUGUUUUUCGCAGAGCAGUUUGGUUGUGCAAUUAAAGCAUAAAAAGUGAUAGCGCAGCAAAACAACAGUCCCAGUUUAAUUCACGUCUAAUGACAGAGCUGCUAAGUGGACCCCUGCCUCUGGAGGUGUAGGACAGGAAAACCUCAUUAACUUUUUUUGUGCGUCUCCGUUUCCCCCCUCAGAGAACGCCCCAGCCUUAUCUGUUGAGUGAUUAGAUGUGCAAUGAAGAAAAAUUUCUGUACAUAUGUAACGUAGUCAGAGCCCAGCGGGACCGUGGCCCGGGGAAAUGCAAAUGAUCUCGUUUUUCUGUGGGUCAAUAACUCAGCCAUGACAUGAAUGAUUUAUGCUUGGCCUGAUCUGAAAACGUUGGUCCAGGCUCGUCCUCCAUCUUCUCUGCUGCUGAUUUUGUUAUUCCCAACAACGUGCAAGUGGUCUGACUGAGAAAAGUAUUUACUCCUAAAAGGUUUUCUUCUCCUAGCUAAAUGUUUCAAAGUGUGACAAAAAUCAAAAACAGACCAAAACAUUUUUUGUUUUUAUCUCUUAUUGCCUCAGUUAGUUUUAAAGUUUUUCCUUAUUGUUUUUAAGCUUUUCUCUGAAAAUGUAUCUCGUCUCAGUUAAAAGAUAUGUUGUAGCUUCUGUGGCUGUAAGAUUUGAAACUGAAUUCAUAAACCAAUCAGUGGAGCUUUUGCUCAGCACAUCUAGAAAAAACAAGGAUCUAAAACUGAACCUUAUUUAUGUUACAAAAUCCAACAAUUGAACCUGAGAUGUUCUGCUUCUACAGAGUUUUGCUAACAUUUUAUCACAUCCAACCCAUAAAAUUCAGUCUGUUGCACUGAGAUGAGACCAACACAAGAUGGUGCAUAGUUAUGUAAUAAAAGGAAAAUCAUACAUGAGUUUCAAAUAUUUUAAUAAAUACAGUCUGUGUUUGUCUUCUGUUUCAAUUGGACCAGAACCACCUGGCUGAAGGUUCAGGUUUUUGGGAUUUU
Xiphophorus hellerii (green swordtail) is the source of this 1406-nucleotide long non-coding RNA. RefSeq lists it as uncharacterized. The record is from RefSeq and is a predicted model, not a curated record. The transcript is spliced from 3 exons. NCBI's taxonomy places the organism in Eukaryota, Metazoa, Chordata, Actinopteri, Cyprinodontiformes, Poeciliidae.